UUUAAAGUCUAACCUGCCCAAUGAAUUAUUUAAUGGCCGCAGUAUUUUAACUGUGCGAAGGUAGCAUAAUAAUUAGUUUUUUAAUUGAGAACUGGUAUGAAUGGUUGGACGAGGGAAUAGCUGUCUCAAUUUAAUUUUAAUUAGAAUUUUAUUUUUAAGUUAAAAAGCUUAAAUUUUUUUAAAAGACGAGAAGACCCUAUAGAGUUUUAUAUUAUAAUUAUAUUUAAUUUAUUAAGUAUUUGUAUUAUUUUAUUUAUUAAUAGUAUUUUAUUGGGGCGAUAUAAAAAUUUAAUUAACUUUUUAUUUUUUAUUUCAUUAAUUUAUGUUUAAAUGAUCCAUUUUUUAUGAUUAAAAGAUUAAAUUACCUUAGGGAUAACAGCGUAAUUUUUUUUUAGAGUUCUUAUCGAAAAAAAAGUUUGCGACCUCGAUGUUGGAUUAAAA
This 441-nucleotide ribosomal RNA is filed under the name Aphodius variabilis. RNAcentral describes it as "partial 16S ribosomal RNA". Lineage: Eukaryota; Metazoa; Arthropoda; Insecta; Coleoptera; Scarabaeidae. The record is from RNAcentral.